This 406-nucleotide unclassified non-coding RNA is filed under the name fungal sp. RNAcentral describes it as "partial internal transcribed spacer region". The stretch from base 1 to 46 matches the Rfam family "Eukaryotic small subunit ribosomal RNA", at positions 1786 to 1831 of the family's 1831-position model. Lineage: Eukaryota; Fungi. The record is from RNAcentral.
AAGUCGUAACAAGGUUUCCGUAGGUGAACCUGCGGAAGGAUCAUUAACACGUUAUCCACGUAUCCACCUCUUGCGAACUUUUUACUGUUCAGGAGUCGGCAGACCAGCGUAGAUAAUGGAGGUAGAUGUUACUAUGUCCAGUGGCCGACACCCUGGUUCUACCUGCCUAGCUAACCCCGCCAUCCCCUUCGUUUUUUUUUAAAUGUGGUGUAAGAAAAAAAGAAGCGUGUUGGGUGUGGGCUUAGGUAUUCUGGUUCAUAUGACUCGAAUCAUAGUAGUUUUUUUAAUCUUAUUAACCCUUUUUUUACUUAAUUUGUUGAAUUGUGAUGGUCCCUGGAGGUAACACUUCGGGUGGCUCACGUUAAUAAAACACUAUACAACUCUUAGCAACGGAUAUCUCGGUUCU